This 590-nucleotide ribosomal RNA is filed under the name uncultured bacterium. Its description in RNAcentral is "bacterial SSU rRNA". It matches the Rfam family "Bacterial small subunit ribosomal RNA", at positions 335 to 916 of the family's 1533-position model. The record is from RNAcentral.
ACUCCUACGGGAGGCAGCAGUAGGGAAUCUUCCGCAAUGGGCGAAAGCCUGACGGAGCAACGCCGCGUGAGUGAUGAAGGUCUUCGGAUCGUAAAGCUCUGUUAUUAGGGAAGAACAAGUGCGUAAGUAACUGUGCGCACCUUGACGGUACCUAAUCAGAAAGCCACGGCUAACUACGUGCCAGCAGCCGCGGUAAUACGUAGGUGGCAAGCGUUAUCCGGAAUUAUUGGGCGUAAAGCGCGCGUAGGCGGUUUCUUAAGUCUGAUGUGAAAGCCCACGGCUCAACCGUGGAGGGUCAUUGGAAACUGGGAGACUUGAGUGCAGAAGAGGAAAGUGGAAUUCCAUGUGUAGCGGUGAAAUGCGCAGAGAUAUGGAGGAACACCAGUGGCGAAGGCGACUUUCUGGUCUGUAACUGACGCUGAUGUGCGAAAGCGUGGGGAUCAAACAGGAUUAGAUACCCUGGUAGUCCACGCCGUAAACGAUGAGUGCUAAGUGUUAGGGGGUUUCCGCCCCUUAGUGCUGCAGCUAACGCAUUAAGCACUCCGCCUGGGGAGUACGACCGCAAGGUUGAAACUCAAAGGAAUUGACGG